CUGCAAGCAGAGCAGUAGAGCGACAUCCUCGCCGUGUGCAACACGGCUUGUGCCGCUGGUGCUAGUGUGGAUGAGUAACAAGUUCGACUACCAGUCCACACCAAGUUCAGGUAUGUUGCUAGUGCACCAAUGAGUAGCGCACCUUGUAUAUGGGAUCCUGGCAUAACAUUGUUUUAUUUUUAGCAACUACAUUUACAUUGCACAAAGAAAGCUAGAUGUGUUGUAGCUUUAGAAUUUGUGUUAUAUAAUGAAAUAAGUUUAGAGGUUUCCCCCAGCGCGCCGCAGCCGGCCCCCUCUCCCAGCGCACCUCCGCCGCCCCUGCCCCAGGGCGCCGCUGCCGAAACCCUGCCGGGCGCGCCGCCGUCGGCCCCCUGCCCCAGCACGCCACCGCCACGACCUCCCUUCCUCAGUGCGCCUCCGCCUAGCCCCUGCCUCCGCUAGAAACAAAAGUACAAUUCCGCUAAUUCCUGUAGUUCUGUGGUUAGCACAAACUGGUGGUUCAUUUUGCUAAUUCUUGCGGUCUACAAUUUAUUUAUUUUUGCUAAAACUUGUAUUUUUGGUUUGUCAGAAGAUGGUGAACUGUGUGAGUACUUCCCUUGCUCUUUCUGCUACAUCAAGGUCGAAAAAGCCCUUCAUCUGCGGGAGGAACACUGCUUUGACAUCUGCAUCCACCUCCUCCCCAACUCCUGGCGCCGCUCGGCCCCCAACCUCCAACCUCACCGGGUCCUGGCGCCGCUCGGCCCCCAACCUCCAACCUCACCGGGUCCUGGCGCCACCCCGCCCCUACCUCCUCCGUGGAUCACGGCGCCGCACGCCCCCCAUUCUCCUCGGAUCCCAACGAUGCCUAGUCCCCAAUCUCUCCGGCUCCAGGAGCCACCAACUGCUGUCCUCUGCCAGCUCGGGUAGCCGCCUCCACCUGUUUCCUCCCGCGGGGCUGACGGUGCAAAUAUGGCCGACGUGCGGGGCAGUGAGACUCGCCGGGGUGGAGCUCCUCCGCCUCUAGACGUUGAUCCAUAGUUCAUUGUCAGUACAGGUUUUGAAACUGCCCAGUACAUGUUGGGGGACAUUUCUGGAAUCACGUAUCCUUGCUAGCUCGUAGCUGUAAUUUGGUUGCAUAGCAGUACAGUUUAGUUGUCUCUGAAGUUUUGAUUCAUAGCAGUACAAUUUAGUCCCAGCUGCCAUGAUUUUGCAAACCAUUGUGCUCCCAAAAGAUGGUGCUUUGUUGCAACAAGUUCUACGGAAAAUGCAGUGAAAAGAUAAAUUGUGCUCCCACAAGUUCAUCUGAUAUACUGUUGUUAAUUCAAUUUCUUUUAUAUACCUCUACACAUGUUUGUUGAAAUGCUCCCACAAGGAGCUAGACUUGUUUUUUGUUCAUAGUUCUCAUUUCUUAAAACAACUGAUGUACUACUAUCAAAAUGGAUGCUACGAUAAAGAUCACAUCUCUAAAUUGAUGAUUCAGCCAUGUUUGCUUUUGUGUACUACUGAACUGACAAUGUUACUGAACUUGUGUUCUCGCUGAUUCUGAACUGUUGCUGGUAACAUUUGUGAUGCUCAUCUACUUUUGGUUGGAAGUUUAAUGAAUCCAUACAUAGUUCAAAUUUUAGGAAGUUAAAAGUUCAACGAGUGUCUUAGAGAAAACUUGGAAGUGUUGUCUAUAUAAAAAAGACAACAAAAAUAUGUGUUCUGCAUUCAAAAGACAGAAACCUAAGAUGUUCAGGAAAGAGUUCCAGAACAUCCCCGGUCGCCGCAUCCCUAGGAAGCCAUGCGACAGCCACCACCACUGCGAGCCACCGGUGCAGCAUCCAACCAGCCCCAUGCGCCUCCAUCCCUCGAGCUCCCAGAUGCGUUGUCGCAGACCCUUUGUUCCCCAUCGCUGCCUCCUCCAACUCCUUUCAUGGCUCUGGAAAAUCACUGAUCAGGUAUGUUCAGUUCAGACCACACUAAAAUGGCUGAAUUAUAGAUAAAUAUUUGCAUUGUCCUAAAUUCUUCCACUCUCUGGAAACAAAGUCGCAGAAUGGAUGUGAACAGAGUAUAUUCCCAUGGUUUUGCAAGAAAUCAUACAAUAAGUGUACUGUUCACUAUGUAUUUUAUCAUCAGUCAUAGAAAAAGUUCAAUUUGUGUUAUUGAAACAACUCAAUUUAUCGGUUUUAUAUAAUAUUACAAGUGAUUCAUAGGGAUGUUGCAACAGUGCGACUCUGAGAGUUAGUAAGUUUGACAAAAAAACAACAUAGGGCAUGUCAGUUCGUGCGGAGAAUACCAGUCUUUAAGUUUGUGAGUUUGUCAGUUCGCCGAUGGGAUCCGCAGGUCAGCCCCUCAUCUUCCACAAUUACUCUUUAUUCUUUUAUGAGUAUUAAUUCAACUACUGACUAAAAUGUGUAGCUUGGACUGAAGUUUUAAAGAUCUGAUUUACUGCUUACCUGUCGCAGCCACCAGGCCAUUUAUAGCCGCCACCCUAGUCAUUUGAUCACUGCCAACCGAGUUUGUUCGACGAUGGAGUGUUGAGGCCGUUCAAAGACGCAAUGGUUAGAGUCUCUCUCUCUCCCUAUUUUCUUCUACCUAUAUGAAAUGUUUCCUGACUUUUCUUGGCUUUGCCUCUUCCUAGCCUCCAAUUUUUUGAUCUGGGGGACUGAACGAGUGCAAUUCGUCGAGGCAUUUGAUGUUCUGACCGCUUAAUAUACAUGGUUGGCAAGAUGACUAAUAUUUAUGUUCUCAAUAUAUGAGAGAGUGGGAUGUUCGUAUGACUGUGGCUGGUUGGAGUGUAUGGUCUUGUGGAGAUCAUGAAUCUUAUUUGCUUAUGACACAAUGUAUAUAUAUACUGCUAGAAGUUCUAGUACCUAUAUUGCUACCAUUCGCUAAUAAAAAAUGUAUCAGUUCAUUAUGUGUAGCACAUGUUUAACACAUAUAAUUACAAAAUAGUUACUUCAACUAUAUAAGAGUUCAGCUUUUACUUGAUUUUCAGUUCAAAUUUUGCGUUAUUUUUAGUAUAUCAACUUUAAUGUGCAGAACAUCGAGGAAAAUCCUGA
Molecule: long non-coding RNA, 3023 nt
Filed under: Triticum aestivum (bread wheat)
Lineage: Eukaryota; Viridiplantae; Streptophyta; Magnoliopsida; Poales; Poaceae
Description: long non-coding RNA (TAES_LNC011878)
Source: RNAcentral